Molecule: long non-coding RNA, 4507 nt
Organism: Homo sapiens (human)
Lineage: Eukaryota; Metazoa; Chordata; Mammalia; Primates; Hominidae
Gene: OIP5-AS1
Product: OIP5 antisense RNA 1
Source: Ensembl
GCAGGGUUGGCCACCUUGAGAAGCUGCGAAGAUGGCGGAGUAAGGCGUGCCGCUGCAAACUGGCCUCUGGGCCGGGGGCGAGCAGCCCCCGGGAGGCCGAGUGCAUCUGUUGGACCGUGCGAGGAGAAGAAAAAAAAUAUCGGCCAGAGGAGAGGAACUAACCGAACAUUCUUCCUCCCUACCUUAUAGAGGGGAGUGGUCAUCUACACUAAAGCAAAGUGUUAGGCGCGUCCGUGCGAAGAGACCACCAAACAGGCUUUGUGUUCCUUAUCACAGGAAGAAAAUUUUCCUUGACCUUUAGGUGCUUUUAUAUUCAUCUCAAAAACAAAAUUCUGAACUCAGGACUUGGCAAACGGAGUCACGUUCUGUUGCCUGGGCUGGAGUGCACUGAUGCAAUCUUGGCUCACUGAAAUCUCUGCCUCCCAGGUUCAAGCGAUUCUCCUGCCUCGGCUUCCUGAGUAGCUGGGACUACAGGCACCCGUUACCACGCCCAGCUAAUUUUUGUAUCUUUAGUAGAGACGGGGUUUCACCAUGUUGGCCAGGCUGGUCUUGAACUCCGGACCUGGUGAUCCACCCACUUCGGCUUCCCGAAGUGCUGGGUUUACAGAUGUGUCUCUAUGUUGUCUCCUAGAGUGGGUAGUCCUGCUUCUUUUACCCAGUUACUUUCCCGUUUUUGAAAUGUGGCUAUCACUUCUCUACACAUUACCUCCAUGAUUUGGAAUGGAAAAGGCCACUUUUCUUUUUGUUCUGCCUCUCAAAUUCAACACAGAGGAGCUCCUAGGAUUCCAGUUAUCCUGCUAACAUCUCCAGGAAGAAAGAAGCAACUCACAUGGGUCUUUUGCUGUUUGCUUAAUUAUAAAGACAUCAUUUUGCAAGCAGAAGGCUGAGUUUCAUUUGAAACAGGUGCUUAGGUGGUGGUAUUUGUGAAUACUUUUCAUUCCAAGCAAGAAGACUAAAGAAGUAGCAAGUAUGAAUGACUUCAGGGUUUAAAAAAAAUGUCUUCCAGUUUCAGCCACUACCAUGAUAAGCACAGUUGAGACUGCAGCAGUAAAUUCCAAAUAUGUGUUUCUAAUUUGACGUGAAAGAUACUAAAAAUUUAUAUUUGUAUAUUUAAAUCCUGGCUCAUCCUGUGACAUAGAUUUACUGAAUAGGAACAAAGGCCCAAUUUUAAACAAAAACCUAGGCCGGGUGUGGUGGCUCACACCUGUAAUCCCAACACUUUGGGAGGCCAAGGCAGGCAAAUCACCUGAGGUUGGGAGUUUGAGACCAGCCUGACCAACAUGGAGAAACCCCAUCUCUACUAAAAAUAGAAAAUUAGCCAGGUGUGGUGGUAGAUACGUGUAAUCCCAGCUACUCGUGAGGCUGAGGCAGGAGAAUUGCUUGAAUCCGGGAGGCGGAGGUUGCAGUGAACUGAGAUUGCACCACUGCACUCCAGCCUGGGCGACAGAGUGAGACUCCGUCUCAGAAAAAUAAAAAACAACUUUGGACAUAGAGGAGUUGGGGGCAGAGGGGGGAGGAUGAGAGAAUUUUCCAUGUAACUCCUUUUCCUUAAGAAAAAGAAGCAAAAAUCCCUCAUGCAGUGCCAUCUGACUUUAUGGUGUUUCACAUUAUAUAGUUACUUUUUUUAAUAAACGCAUAAGAUUAACUCUUCCUGCAACCCAAGGUGGAUACUUGGAUGUUUGAUUUUUAUUUAUUUAUUUAUUUAUUUUUUGAGGCAGUCUCUCUCUGUUGCCCAGGCUGGAGUGAUGCGUGAUUUCUGCUCACUGCAGUCUCUCCCACCCGGGUUCAAGCGAUUCUCCUGCCUCAGCCUCCCAAGUAGCUAGGAUUACAGGCGCGCACCACCACGCUCAGCCUGAUUUCUAGGCUGAAAAGGCUGGGACUCAGGUACUUUCCCCAGUUGGGACUGAACUUUCUCAUCAGAGAAUGGGCCUCAGAAGCAAUGUUCCCAAACUUGUGGUUGGGUCAUCGUGGAAAAGAAACCUCAAAUAAGAAAAAUAAUUACAAUAAGAAAUGGAUUUUCUUUUUUCCCACAACAGUUAUACAUUAUAAAGAACAGACUGUCGUAGAAAACUGUCUUUGCUUCCAAAUCAGCAGAGGACCAUUGUAUGUAUUGUCAGGUCUUUAUAUAAGAGUGAAACCUUUAUUUAUGCUUCUUGUGAGUAGAGAAUAAAUUUUAAAACUAAUUAGAUGAAAUUAAGAACAGAGUAUUGGAACAUCUCUGUGUUUUCCGGAAUGUUUACUCAGGUCCAUGAAUGCUGUGAUGCUGGGAACUUAGGGAAGAUUCACCAAAAUUUGAGAGUGAUAAAAAUGGCCUAAAAUGGGAAAUGGUGAGCACUCUUAUUAUUAGUGAGAUUGGUCAAUCAGCCCAUUUGAAAUGGGUAAAAAAUACUUUCAGUAAAAUAAUUACAUAUUAUAUAUAAAAUAUUUCUUUUUUUGAGGGCAGCUACUGAGUGAUAAAAGCAUAGUAGAAAUCACUUUGGUUAAAAGUAACUCAAAUUUUUCUCUUAAGUAAUCUACCAACUUCCUGAUGUUUUUCUUUAAUAUUUUGGAACUGUUCAAGACAGAAUGGAGCCUACAUAUAUGGUGUUCCACUAGUAUGUUGAAAAUGUCAUAUCAUGGAGAAUGGAGACACCUUCCAGGUGUCUGUUAAACCCAUCUUCUCUGUGUACUUCUGGCAUCUUUUUUGGUAGGAUCAUUUGGCAGGGGGUAGAGUACCUGUACUUUUGGCACCAUUGAAACCAGCUCUGGCCCACUUGUUUGAAUAGCUAUCAGACUCAGCGUCUCUAUAUGCUUUAUAUACAGUUGAGAGAACCAGUGUUUAAUGCUCUUGAAAUUGUAUCUUCCAUGCUUCAGACCAGAUGCAUUUAACAAAAUGGAUAUAUUCCAGCUGUAGUUGCCCAGUGUUUACUUAACACAUCUACAUUUUUUUCUUGUCUAUUUUGGUCCCCUUGAUAGGAAAAGCUAUAAUUUUAGGCAGGACUAUACGUCGAUUUGUAGCCAUGCUUCCUUCCUUUCCCUUGCUCAUCCAUGUUAGCUGGCAGUUUUUCUUUUGAAAAGUUAAAACCGGGAUAUGUGCAAUAGAAAUAUAUAUAUAUAUAUGUAUAUUUUAAUACUUGUGGACAAAUGUUACAAGUUGUUUAAGAACAACAAAAUCACCAAUGUCUUCCAUUUUGAGAUGUGUAUAGUUUUGUAAGCAUUAGUGCUUGGUAGCAUAUUGUAGUGCCAUGUUAGGGGUUAGUGCAUGAGUCUAGUGAUUUUAAACUUCAGGAUGAAUUAUUGAUAAUAACAAAUAGUGUAAAAAGAGUGGAAAAUCUAAACCUUUUCUUUUUCCAUAAUGUCUAAAUCUGUUAUAUUCUUCCUGGGGAAAAGAGAUUAAGGCCCAAAAGACUCAUUUAUGAAUAGAAAUGUGGGGUCAAAAUCUGAGAUACUAUAUUUGAGGACAUUUCAGCUUUCCAUAAGGUAUCUGGAAACCAGCUGUCUUUGUGUCUUAUGAAACCUCAAGUCAAAAUGAGACCGCAUUUAAUUAUUCUGCUUUGCUCUUUUUUUGGGGUGGGGGGGAGAUAGAGUUUCACUCUGUCACCCAGGCUGGAGUGCAGUGGCACAAUCUUUGCUCACUGUAACCUCUGCCUCUUGGGUUCAAGUGAUUCUCGUGCCCCAGCCUCCCGAGUAGCUGGGACUACAGGCACGUGCCACCACGCCCAGCUAAUUUUUAUAUUUUUAGUAGAGACGGGGUUUUGCUGUGUUGGCCAGGCUGGUCUCAAACUCCUGACCUCAAGUAAUCCACCUGGCCUGCUCUUUUCAUGUCUUAACAUGGCAUGUCUUUUAGUUUCAUUAUUUUCCUACUCCUUGUAUGUCAAGAAAUUACAUUUUGCAUGUCUUAUGGAGAUGCUGUUAAUUGCUUCAGUGAGUGCUUUUCUAAUCUGCAGACCAUUUACAUUUCCUGUUUGCAGCAUGCUGUGUGCAAACACUCAGUAAUUUGGAGUAUUCAAUUAUUUGUUAGGGCUCUUCCUAUUUCCAAAUGUGCUGAAUUGUCUAUUGAUGGGAUUUUCAGAUCUUUUCAUGAGAACUGGAAAUGUAGCUGGGUGGCACCUACCUAGGUUGCUACGUAGUGAGUAGACUUUCUCUUGGGUAUAGUAAGCCUCAGACAGCUUUCACUUUUAUCUACUUUACUUGUGGAAAUAAAACAGUCAUUUUGUUCUGAAAGAAUAAGAUAGCUUUCUGUAGAGAAGGAAUUCCUACCUCUAAAAGCUGCCUUGAGAACUCAGAACUGGCAGUUUUCUGAGGUGAUUUUUAAAUUUCAGUAUUAGGGAGAGUCCAGCAUUUGCUGACACAGAUUCUACAUAACUAAUGUAUGAUAGCAAAUGCAAAACUAUUAUAAUGUGGUGUAUCUUGCGCAUACACAGGUUAGAACAAGUAGACUCUGGCAGCAGAUCUCCAGAGACCCAAGUUUAGGUUCUCAUAGUGUAUUUGAAGUAGUUAUACUCCUGGCUUAAGUAGUUUAGUGCCU